UACAGGGGGGGCAAGCGUUGUUCGGAAUUACUGGGCGUAAAGCGCACGUAGGCGGCUAUUCAAGUCGGGGGUGAAAGCCCGGGGCUCAACCCCGGAACUGCCCUCGAAACUAGGUAGCUAGAAUCUUGGAGAGGUCAGUGGAAUUCCGAGUGUAGAGGUGAAAUUCGUAGAUAUUCGGAAGAACACCAGUGGCGAAGGCGACUGACUGGACAAGUAUUGACGCUGAGGUGCGAAAGCGUGGGGAGCAAACAGG
RNAcentral lists this ribosomal RNA (253 nucleotides) under uncultured bacterium. RNAcentral's name for it is "partial 16S ribosomal RNA". It matches the Rfam family "Bacterial small subunit ribosomal RNA", at positions 524 to 776 of the family's 1533-position model. The record is from RNAcentral.